UCCAUUCCACGAGCGCCUCGGCUUCUCCCGGCGCGGAGCUCGCGCCGCGCAGUUGUGAGGACGACAGGAGCAGGAAGACGAGAAGCGUCGCGCCCCACAAAGCUUGUCCUUGAUGGGCAUGGCGCUCCUCCAUCGCUCGCAGGGCCUGGGCACACUUUGGGAUGGAUGAGUUGGAUCGCGAAUGUGGAGCUGUGAAUUGCGCGCGCAUCCUUUGAAUUCAGCACCAGGACCUGCUGCUGGAAUCACACAACACGUGUUGAUCCAUGGAGAGUGCAGCUGCCGUCAUGGCGACCAUUACCACGAACGAGUGGAUAGUCGUUAUAGCUUGGAAAUUUGGAAGUUGAUCGGGCUGGUGGUUGCAGAGGCGCUGUCAGGAUUACUUACUAUAUUCAGGUAUUGCUGUAUAGGAUACUACAAUCAAUGGAGCGAAAGAGGUGACAUGUCCGUCAGAGCAAAUCCAUGAGCCCCCUUGAUAUUAUAUUACUCCAUCUGUUUUUUGUUUUUUUGGCUAGACUCCCUCGGUAAAUUAAUACGGAGUACUUUUUUAGAUGAAUUUUUUAGGGCUAUUUUUUAAGGGGAAAAGCUAACCAUCAGCCGGCGGAUUAUAAUGGCCGCAUCAGCCACCUCCCCCGUAAGACACGGGUUCAAGUGACUAUGCGGUUCUGCAACAAAGACUAUGUUUCUGAAACAUAUGCGAUGUUGCAGUGGUCUACUAUAGAUUUAUGUUCUGACCAUCCGGCGGCCGCCAGCCGCCCAUGCCGUCCAUGAACGUUGCAAAAAAAUUCCGCAACUUGACGUUUGUUGUAAAAAUUCCUGAAACAUGACCUUUGUUGGAAAAAAUUCUACCGCAAAAGUACCUAUGUUGCAGAAAGACGAAGAAAAAUAAUCCUGCAACAAGCAAAUUAUUUCUGAAAGUCGACGUUGUUUCAGGAAUUAACCGGUCCAAAGUUUAUUUCUUGCAACAAAGCGAAAGUUUCUGCAACUUAGCCAUCGUUUCAGGAAUUAUGGGGUGCCUGACCGGAGCAGAUCCGACGUCACGUGUAGAUCGGACGGCCCUCCAAGUGGUGGAUGUUUAGUAAACAUCCACCGGUGGAUGCGUAGCAGGCCCCAUUUUUUAAUGAUGAUUUCUUAUCUCUCCCUAAUAAUAAAGCACCUUGUGCUUCUGUCGACCGUCGUGGUUGUUUUGCACAAAACCCCCUAAAGUUUUCCGAAAUCAACCCGCAGUCCCGAUUUAAGUGAAUAACCAAUCGUUUUGGUAUUGUUUACAGAUAACCCCCUGUGAGUUCCCGAAAUCAACCCGCAGUACAUAAUUAGCUGAGAGAACGAAACGUUUUUUUGGAGUUUUUGUAAAAAACUCCUUCAGUUUUCACAAAAUAAACCCGCAGUACAUACUUGAGUAAAAAAACAAUCGUUUUCCGUAUGUUUUCGUAAACACCUCUACAGUUUUUAAUUAAUUAAUCUUUAGUUUAAUUAUAAGUGCAAAAUACUUUAAAAAAUCAUAUGUUUUAAACGAUAACUCCAAUCUACAUUAUUAUAUAUGAAUUUUUAUUAGAAAAAUAUAUAGAAUCGGAAUAUAAUGUUUAUUUAUCUAUUUAAUUUUUUAAAAUUGUGUUUAUAAUAUAAUUUUAAUCAAUAGUGAUGCGCACAAUUAAUAUAAUGUUAUUUUAUCUAUUUAAUAAUUUUAAAAUUAUAUUUAUGCUGUAAUUUUAAUCAAUAGCGUAUAAUCCAUCUUUUCAUAACGAGGCCGGUCCACGUAGUUAAUUAAUCCGCGGUUUAAUUAUAAUUAACAAAUACUUUAAAAAAUUAUAUUUUUUAAACUGUAACUCUAAUUUAAAUUAUUACAUAUGCACUUUCAUUCAAAAAAUGUGUUGAAUCGAAAUAUAAUAUUUCUUACAUAUUUAAUUUUUAAAUUUCUAUCUAUAAUGUAAUUUGAAUUUAUAGUGAUGCGUACAAUCUAAAUAUGAUGUUAUUUUACUUAUUUAACAAUUUUUAAAUUCUAUUUAUGCAGUAAGUUUAAAUAAGGUCUUAAAUCAUGAUUAUUAGGUUAUGACAUGUUUGUACGGUUUGCUCCCGUUGCAACGCACGGGCUCUUUUGCUAGUACUAAUAGAGAAAAUAGUGCUUCUUUCGUACGUCAUCCAAAUUGCCCUUAAAGUUGACUAAAAUUACCCACCAAUGCCACCUAUAAGUCAUAAAAAACGUUUCAAACAGGAAAAUCUGCGAACUGGGCUGGCCCAUGUAGGCACAUCCUAUAUUACGCUCUAGGCGUUGAAAAAAGGUGCAGUACACCUGUUUGGGCCGGCCCAUGCGUGGGCGCCUGUUUUUUCAGUUCAGUUUUUUUAUUUUUAUUUUCUGUUCCAUUUUGUUUUUGUACUUUAAAUAAUUUAGAACUUCAAACAACUUCUCAAUUUUAAGAAACUGAGAAUUUCGAAAUAAAUUUUCAAAAAAACUUUUUUAUUGAGAAUUCAAAAACUACUCAGGAAUUUUGAAAAAUGUUUGUAUAUAGAAAAAUGUUUACACUUUGAGAAAAUGUCCAUAAAAUAAAAAAGUCAACGAUUUUAAACAAGAGUCCGUGUAAAAAUCUUAAAACAUUUUGUGCCUCUAUUUUUAGUCUCAUUUUUUAUUUUCAUUUUUCUGUUGCAUUUUUUAGUUUAAAUAAUUUAGACCUUUGAAAAACUUUUGCAAUUUAUAAAACUGGGAAUUUUGAAAUAAAGUUUGAAGAAAAUAUAAAAUGUUUGUGAAUUCAAAAAAUUCUCAAGAUUUUUGUAAAAAUAUUCGCAUAUUCAGAAAAAUGUUCAUAAUUUUGAGAACAAUGUUCGUGAAAACAAUAAAAGUCCAUGAUUUUGAAAAAAAGUUUGUGUGUUAUUUUUUGAGUGCAAUUGAAAAAAAUGUUUGCUAAUUCAAAAAAUGUUCAUGCAUUUCAAGAAAUGUUCUUAAAUUUUAAAGACAUAAUAUGAUCAGCACCAUUGAAGAUUAUAAUUAUUAUUUUUCCGUUGCAACACACGGGUCCUUUUGCUAGUUUAACAUAAGCAUGGAACACUUCUAUCGGGCCACCGUGCAGGAAGGAUCAUGCAAACCAAACGGCGAAACAAUGGAAAAGCUAUAAAAAAUCCUGUGCUUUUCUCUCCCUAAUAAUAAAGCGCGCAGCGCUUCUGCCCGUCCGUCAUAGCGAUUUUGUAAAAAAGCCUUCGACGUUUUCUAAAAUCAACCCGCAGUCCGGAUUUAAGUCAGAAAACGAAUCGUUUUUUGCAUUUUUCUAAAAAAAACCCUGAUGUUUCAGGUAAUCAACCCGUAGUCCGGAUUUUAACAAAAAAAACCUAACUUUUAAACCGUAACAAAAUUAUCCAUAUCUUUUAAACCAUAAUACUCACGGACUUAAAUCAUAAUACUCAAUGAAAGAUUCUCCGGAUGUUGCAACGCACGGACUCUUUUGCUAGUUUGAUUUAAAAAACAUUUCAAACCAUAAUACUCAAUGAAAGAUUCUCCGGAUUAUUUCUAGGACAAUAAUCCUACAUCUCGAUGGUUUAUAUAAAAGUUCGAUUGCACCUACUUAUAUUUUCAAGACAGAUUGUCACAAGUAUAUUUGGCUCCAAUAUUCCACUUCAAUAUAUUUACGUGAAGUAGUAAUUCAAUAUAUUUUAUGGCAGACAAUUCUUAUAUGAUUAGUUUUGCGAGGAUAUUAUUAAAAAGUGAUUAAAAUUAAUUUCAAAUUAAUGACCGUCAUCUAACCCAAAAAUUGGUAUCAAGUACUCCCUCGGCACCAUAGUAAAAAACACUCUUAUAUUAUACACUUUCUUGGUCCGGAAAUACUUAGGAUAAUAAUGAAUGUAUCUAGAUGUAAUUUAGUUCUAGAUACGUCCAUUUGCAUUCAUUUUUAUGACAAGUAAUUCUGACUGAAGGAAGUAGAACGAAAGGAGUAUGUGUUACAUUAUCUUCUCCCUUCAUAUCAUAGUUUAUCUAACUUUCAAGGGCCCCCAUGACAUGGCUUGCAUGCUCCUCCUAUUGUCCUUGUAUGUACUUCCUUUAUUUUUUUAAAGGUGUGCUUUAUUACUUAAAAGAUUUAAGUUACAUCCGGCCUCUGCAUAACUAAGAUGCACACAGUCAAAAAUUAUCUUCUUACACAAGCGAAAAAUAAAAGGCGAGAUACAAAGAACAUGUAGAGUGUGUAUAACGCCUAAAAAGAAAGGGGGGGCAAUCCUAAGAUCAUGCUGCCACCCAUGUAAGGUAGAAGUAUCCCUCGUUGUAGCCUUCAAUCGUGUACACACCUUCGUAAACAUGUCUCGAUUCUUCACGCGUUGUAGAGAGCACCAUAAACAAAGAGUCUUGGUACGUAUGUAUAUAACCUGCAUAAGACAAGCACUUCGAUCGUUAGAAACCUUAUCAUUUCUACAUAGCCAAAGCGAUCAAAUAACGGCAAGCGCUCCCACCCUAAGAAGAGUUCUAAACCUAUGACCAAUCUCAUAUAACCAGUUGACAAAAACAUUACCAACAUUACAAGGAGGAUACACGUCAGAAGCUAUUUGAAUGACUCGUCAUAUAUCACGAGCCAGUUUGCAUUGUAAGAAUAAAUGGUUUAUAGUCUCAUCAUGGUUAUAGAAGACACAUUGCAGACUCCCAUGUCAAUUCCUCUUAAUAAGGUUAGCUUUAGUAAGAAUGAUUCCGCGACGAAGAUAACAUGCAAAGAUUUUAUUUUUUAAGAGGUAUCUUCAUCUUCUAGACCCUCUUGUUAUUAUCUAGUGGCACAUCAGACUGGAUUAAAGCUCUAUACAUCGAGUCCACUGAGAAUUGUCCAUUACCAUGUAGGUUCCAUCGGAAUACAUCGGACCCAUGUGACAAUUGCACCGUGGACAACCACUGGAGUAGGAUGUUCCAUGAUUGUAGUGUGGGUCCAAUUAAAUCCCUUCUGAAUGUCACAUUUGGCAGAAAUGAUUCCAAUACCGUGGCGACAGUAUCAUCCUUGUGACGCACAAUGUUGUAUAGAGCCGGAUAUUGUUCCUAGAGUGUGUCAUUUCCAAUCCACUUAUCCUCCCAAAAUCUAAUUUGUGAACCGUCUUUUAUGGAGAAGGAUCCACAGCAGAAGAAAUAUUCCUUCGUAACCAUUAGCCCCACCCAAAAGUGAGAAUCUCGAGUCUUCUAGUAUACUUGUGAUACUGUCUUGGAACCCACAUAUUUCCUCCUCGGUAGGGUUUGCCAUAAACCGUUUUCCGAUAGUAAUUUAAACAACCAUUUACCGAGGAGGGCCCUAUUCUUAACCUCGAGGUCAUGAAUGCCCAACCAACCUUGGCCUUUUGGACAGAAAACUACACUCCAUUUAGCCAGCCGAUAUUUCUUUCUCUCGCUAUCUCCUUGCUAAAAGAAUCUUGAUCGAAAAUAAUCUAAUCUAUGUAAAACUCCCUUCGGCACCUAGAAGAAGGAAAUCAUAUACAGUACCAUAUUACUUAGUACUGAAUUUAUGAGGACCAAUCUUCCGUCGAGAGACAACAAUUUACUUAUCCAACCGCUAAGUCUUUUUUGUAGUCUCUCCUCGACGUGUUUCUAUUCAACAUUAGUGAGUCUCCGAUAAUGUAUCGUUAUCCCCAAAUGUGUGAUCAUAAACUGACCCAACCCGCAUUCAAACAAGUCGGUGUGUAGGUGAGCCUUGAUGAAGAAAACAAUUCACUUUUAUGAAAAUUAAUCUUAAGACCUCAAAGUUGCUCGAAUGCUGAUAAAAUUAAUUUCAGAUUUCUUGCUUUCUCUAGGUUAUGAUCCAUGAAGAGAAUCGUAUCAUCGAAUUUUUUAAGUAUAGGGAGUCCACCAUCAACUAGAUGAUUUACGGCCCCAUCAAUUUGGCCAUCAACCUUGGCACGCUCAAUCAUGACAGCUAGCAUAUCUGCCACUAUAUUGAAUAACAUGGGCGAUAGCGAAUCACCUUGUCGUAAUACCUUCUUCGUUUGGAAAUAGUAGCCAAUACCAUCAUUGACCUCAAUGACAACACUACCUCAAGAAAUGAAGCUAUGGAUCAUAGCGCGCCACUCUACCGAAAAUCCUUUCAUCAGGAUGGUUUGUUGAAGAAAGGGUCAUUUGACAUUGUCAUAAGCUUUUUUCAAAGUCUAUUUUGAGUACCACCCCAUUCAACGUUUUUCCAAUGUAAUUCAUGGACUGUUUCAUGAAGGAUAACAACACCAUCUAGGAUUUGUCUACCUUGCAUAAAAGUUGUCCGUGAAGGACGAACCACAUGUUCAGCGACCGAAUUCACCCUAAUAGUCCCAACCUUCAUGAAUAUUUUAAAACUAACAUUGAUGAGGCAAAUAGGUCUAUAUUGUUGUAUCCUUACAACCUCAUUAAGCUUAGGUAAUAAAAUAAUAUCACCGAAGUGUAAGCGAAACAAAUUUGAUUGGCCAGCAUGUAGGUCGCUAAAAAAAAGUAGGAUAUCUAGUUUGAUGACUUCCGAGAAGUUCUGAUAGAACUUUGUAGGAAAUUCAUCCCGCCCCGGGGCUUUGUUAUGCUCCAUCAAGAAAACCACCUUUCUAACUUCCUCCUUGGAGUAUGGGGCUGUUAGAAGGUUGUUUUCCUCAUCAGACACCCGAGGGAUGUCAUCUGUUCAGAACUCAUCCAUUGAGAAGUUCCCUUCCUCCGGGGCUCCAAAUAGAUUCUUAUAAUAAUUGGUGAUAUAAAUUUUAAGUUGCUCAUGCCUCUCAAUCAUACCCUCAUCCCGUUAUAAGGAAUGAAUAGGUUUCUUCCGGUGUCUACCAUUGGCGACUCCGUGGAAAUAUCUAGCAUUCGAAUCACCUUUUAGGAUAAAUUGAGAAUUAGAAUGUUGGUACCAUUUGAGUUCCUCUUCACGCAUCAUGCUAGCUAUCUAUGCAUUUGAUUGACUCUUGAUAUCGAUUUCAUGCUUAGAUAGAGGUCUAACUUCUACCAAAGCUUCUAAUUGAUCAAUGAUAGAUUAAAGACGAAGCUUCUCUUUUUUGAGGAUACCCACCGUAUGCCUAGCCCAACCACCAAGAAAUUUACGUAAUGCACAUAUUUUGUUGUUCCAUUGAUUUAUUAGGGUAUGCUUGACCACCGGGUUCUCCCAUACCUUUUUGACCAUGUCAUGUAAUCCAUCCUGAUGCAGCCAACCAAGUUCGAACUUGAACUUAAGUCUAUGUUGAAAUUAAGGGCAUGAAGUCUAAAUUUUAAGUAUGUACUUCCUACCAUUAAUUUUUUGUAAAGUGCUCGGUGAGGGCAUUCCCUCCUCAAAAUUUCCUUUUGCAAUUAAAGAAAAUGCAAAAAUAAAUAUCAUAUUUACUUUCCCUAUGUACUUCUCUCUUCUAUGAUACAUAUCAACCUACUUCUAGCAUUCUACCCCUUUGCUUCGACAACCCCACCUUGUUGAUCUCCUCCAUCAUAGCACCCUUCUCUCUCUCCUCUUGAAUCUAUUUUUGCCCCCCUAAGACCUUAGUUCUCAUUUGCAUCAGGUGUGCCUAUUUAGAGAGCAAUCAUGCAUUUUAUUAAUAUAUUGGUGCUCAAAGUAAAGAUUUUCUCUGCAGUUUUGUGCUAUCUUUUAAGGGGUAUCAGUAUUAUGGGAGAAAAUCAUACAUCCUCAUUCCUAUUUUUUUCAUAUCAUGAAAAAAAUAAAUGCCCAUAGGUACAGGAUGAAAAUAUUUGAAUGCAAGCUACAUAUUGGGGGAUAAUGAAUGGGAACAUACAAAGGGAGCACGAAAGUUGCGUCCAUAGUUCAAGCAUGCAUUUUAUUCUAACAACCAACUUAGCACAUUUGUAACCCUCAUGUCUUGGAAGGAUAGAAUCAUGUUUGCUCGAAAAUACAAUGGUGUACAUGAAUCCACACACACCUUACUAUUAAGUAGUGUGAUUAUUAGAAAAUAUAGAAUAGAUUAAGAUUUGUUUCUUCCUUGAUUUAUACUCCAAAAUGGUCAUGUGCUCCAAUAUAUACGUCCACGAGGCUCAAACAAUACAAUCUAACUAUUUCAUCAAUCCCUCUCUAUCCCUACUAACAUGGUAUCGCCUAACCAAUCCAACUCUAGCCACCGCCCGCUGCUUCUUCCCCGCGUAAAGCCCCUAAGGCGGCCCGUCUCCAUGACUGCCGCCGAUGGCCGCGCCGCCGUACCUAGGGUUUGUAUGUCGGUCAUAUUGACCUCUAUCGGUCAUAUUGACCGACAGCCCUAGAGAGUUUUUGUACGAUCUUUUGAUUCGGAUUCUCUCUCUCUCUCUCUCUCGCCGGUCACUUUAAUUGUCAUUUUCUUUUAGGUUUUUCGAUCUAAGAUUGGUUUGUGUCGCCCACCGCCACCAUCAACCACCGCACCUCUACUUCCACAAUUGCACGAUCUCGACCUCUUCUUUGACCCUGAGAACUUGCACAUCGUGUUGUCCCAUCUAGGCCGUCGCCCGUCGCUCUACGCUAGCCAUCACUGCCAACGAUGCAACCACCCGCCCUCUUAUUUGACCUGGUGGCCUCACGCAUCGCGACGACCUGUCACGAUCGUCGUCCGCGUGUUUGUUUGCCCGUAUCUCUGAGACGCCCGUCGCCGCCCUGCUCCGAUCAGGAUCCUGCAUCGCCUUGUCUCCACCCUGCUUAGAUGUAUGUGUCCGCCGGCCUGGCACCACGCUACACAUGAUGCGUAGACCGGCGGCAUUGUGAUGUGUGAUACGUGUCUAACGUAUGGAUAAUUUUUCAUUGUUCCAUGCUAUAAAUUUAUCAUUCUAGGAUACUUUUUGGGCAUUUAUUUUCUUAUUCAUAUUAUUUUUUAGCACCAACCUAUUAACCCAGUGCCAAGUGCCACUUGCUAUUUUCUACAUGUUUUUUAUUUUCCGAUUUAGAGUACCAAACGGAGUCCAAAUACCACGAAACUUUUUGAUGAUUUUUUUCCGACCAAAAUAUGAAAUGGAAGAUUUGGGGGAAGGCCGGGGGCCACACGAGGGCUUGAUACGUCUUCAACGUAUCUAUAAUUUUUUAUUGUUCCAUGGUGACAUAUUAUCAUUCUAGGAUACUUUUUGGGUAUUUAUUUAUCAAUUUAUAUUAUUUUUGAGCACUAACCUAUUGACCAGUGCCCAGUGCGAGUUGUUGUUUUCUGCAUGUUUUCACUUUUCAGGUUUUCCAUACCCAAAGAAGUCCAAUUAACCUGAAACUUUUUGGAGAUUUUUUCUGGACCAAAAGAAGACCAAUGAGUAUCACACGAAGGUUGGGGGCCACCCGAGGGCCCCACAAGCAAACACGUCGCUACCUAGAGUGGGGCACCCUGAUAGCUUGUGGGCCCUCGAGGCUCCCCCCACUCUGUUCUCUCGCUUAUAAAUUCUCGUAUAUCCUAAAAAGCCUAGAGACAGUCCCGAAACACUUUUUACGCCACCAUAAGUAUCUAUUUCGAUAGGAGGCCAUGUGGAGCUCCGUUCAAGCACUCUGUCAAAGGGGGGUCGAUCACGGAGGGCCUCUUCAUCAACCUUGCUUCCCUCAUGAUAAUGUGUGAGUACCUAGAUGACAAUCUCUCUCUUUGUUGAUCUUCAAUAGAAUGAUCAUCACAUCUUCGCUUUGAUCCAUGUGAUGUAAUCCUUUUCUGCAGUGCGUUUGUUGGGUCCAAUGAAUUAUUGGUUUAUGUUCAGAUUAUUCAUGAUAAAUAUUUGAGUCUUCUCUGAAUUCUAAGAUGAUUCUUAUGUGCAUGAUCAUGAUAGCUUCGUAAUUCUCUCCGAUCUAUUGAAAUAGUUUGGCCAACUAGAUUGAUAUUUCUUCGGUGAGAGAGGUGUGUUGUAGUAGGUUCAACCCGGCGAGUUUCUAUAUCCAAGUGACAAAAGGGGACAAGAUGCAUCGGUGUGUUGGUACUACUAAGAAUAACAUGAUGGGGUUUAUUCAUAUUGUUUGAGUUUACUUUGUCUACAUAUGUCAUCCGUCUCCAUGCAUUACUCUAUUUUAUUUAUUACUCUAGAUGCAUGCUGGAUAGUGGUAGAUGAGUGGAGUAAUAGUAAUAGGAGCAGGUAGGGGUCGGCUUACUCGUUUAUGAAUGUGAUGCCUAUAUACACAUGAUCAUUUCCGUGAAUAUUGCAUAACUAUCUGCUUUUCUAUCAAUUGCCCAACAGUUAUUUGUUUACCCACCACAUCUUGUUUUCAUGAGAGAUGCCACUAGGGAAAAGUAUGCCCCCGGGUCUAUUCACCAUAUAUUUACAAAACCUUCAAUACAUUUCUUCCAUUUACUUGUUUUUAUUUUAUUUUGAAAUUUACAACUAUCUACACAUCUUACUUGCUUGCAAAUGACGAGACCAAGGGGAUUGGUAACCCACUUGCCCGCGUUGGGUGCAAGUUGUUUAUUAUUUUGUGUGCAGCCGCUGAAGUCGGUUGUUGUUUGUAUUCCUAUUGGUUCUAUGAACCUUGGUUUCAUAAGCGAGGGAAAUACUUACCCACAUUGUGCUAUGAUAACCCAUUCCUCUUCAUGGUAAACCCAACGCAGAUCACAUGUAUCAGGAAGGAUUUCUAGCACCGUUGCCGGGGAAUAUCAUCAUUAACUACCAAGUAACUUCACACAAUUUUUUAUUCACUUACUCCUCUUUUUAUUUGGUGGUAUAUUUAGUUUGCCUCAUAAAAAAUAAUAUAAAAUACAAAAAUAUUUAUCUUUGCUUGUUACUAGUUUUCUUGUUUGAAGUCAUGACUAGUUCUUCCUUUGUUUGUGUUACUCCCAAUAAUGAUGUUGUCAAUUUUAAACAAAGGGGAGGAGAAAGUUUGAAAGAUGCAUGGUACAGGAUUUGCGACGCUGAAAAUAAAGAAACUAAUAAGAUAUCCACCACUACCUUGAUUCAUAAUUUUUAUGUUGGUGUGACAACUUGGCAUAGGUUUGUCCUUGACACCAUGACUGGUUGGAACUUUUUAAUGUGUCACAUUUUGGAUGCCUAUAAUGCCAUUGAAAAUCUUGUUGGAACGCCACCCAUUAUCAUUAAUGAAAUUAUUUUUUACCUUGGAACAUGUCAUGCAAAGGCUUCAUGCUAUUUAAAGGAAAAUGAUCACUAAUGAACCAAUUGAGGAGUUAGAUAAAAAACUGCAUAACCAUAUCACUCAACUUGGGUCACGUGUAGGAAUGACUUUGAAAACUUUAAAGGAAAAGAAUACUAUUAUUGAUAAGAGGGUAGAACAAGGUUUGAGUAGAAUUGAUAAAAUGGAGGAGGUGAUUGACAAAGUGGGUUUCGCAUUCGCACCAUCUAAAACUAAUGCUAGUACAUCUCAAAACAAAAGUCCCAAGUUCAUAUACAUUCCUAAGAGCAUUAGUACACCUCCUACCAAAAGAAAUGAAGAUCUCAGAAUGAUUAGUGUUCAACCCACCUUUAUAAACAUGAUAAAAGAUCUUAUUUUCAAGCCCCCUGUUAUUCCUAUUAGCCAUGGUUGUGUUAUUAAGGAUCUUGAUGUCAAAGGUGACAACACUUGAAACUAUGCAAUAUGCCUAGCUAGGAGCAUAAAACAAUAACGCUUGUUGGGAGGCAAACCAAUAGUUAUCUUUAUAUUUUCUUUUACUUUAUGUUUGUUUGUGAUAACAUGAUUUUUUUCCAUUGUAAUGAUUGUGUUUUUAUGUUUUAAUUAGUCUUUGUUCCAAGUAAAGCCUUUGGGAUGAUUUGUAUGAUUAGUAGAAUUGAUUCGGUGCAAAAACAAGAACUUUGACGUCCAAUACAUAAUUUUUCUAAUUUUACUCGAACGUCUUUUUAAGUUGAAUGCUUUAUAAAAUACUGAUAUACUAAUUUCUCAGGUCUUACUAAUUGUUCAUAAUUGUUUGAGUUACAGAAGUAUGGCAAUUAAAUGUAUCUUUACAAAUUUUCUGUUUUACGCAGAUUUUGUUUUUGUUUGCAUAGUUUGCUUGUUUUGAUUAUGUUGUUGAUUGUAUCGGGGGUAUAAGCCAUGGAGACGUUAUAACACAAUACCUUAUUCCAAAAUAAAAUAAGAAUCAACUUAUAAAACUACCUGAAGUAUUUGAUAUGUUGCUUAUACUAACGAAUCUCACGAAGUUUUGUUGAGUUUUAUGUGAAUGAAGUUUUCAAGUUUUUUGUAUUAUCCCGUUGGACAAAGGAAUGAGGAGCGGCGAAAUAGUAAGCUUGGGGAUUCCCAAGGCACUCCAAGGUGAUACUCUAGGAAGACUCAAGCGUAAAAGCUUGGGUAUGCCCCUGAAGGCAUCCCCUCUUUCUUCUCAAUCCAUCGGUAUGUCACUUGGAGCUACAUUUUUAUUCAUCACGUGAUAUGAGUUUUUCUUGGAGCGUAGUUUGCUUUGGUUUAAUUUUACUUUCAGUUUGCCACAAUCAUCAUUUGGUGGACACACUUAUUUGAUAGAGACACGCCAUCAUCAUAAUUUGUUAGAAUACUCUAUGUGCUUCACUUAUAUGUUUUCGAGCACGAUGGCAUGUAGAUUUUAUAGAAAUAGUAUGCUCUCGUUCUUCACUUGUAUUUGUUUGAGAGUUAAAUAAAUAGUAAUGGUAAUUUGCAUGGGUCAUAAUACUAUACCAAAAAUACUAGGUGUCCAAUGAGUGAUAAUUAAACCCAUCAUAUAGCACAUAUAGAGAAAUUUUGGGUUAAUUAUAUUGAUGUCGUGAUAUGAAGAAAGUGUGAGUGCAUUAUUAUUAAUUCAGAGAGGUGUCGAUAUCAAGAGAUGUUAACUUCUUGUUCCUCUAAAGAUAAAAAAGGCAUGGUGAUGAUGUGUGAGCAUUUCUAUUCCUCAUUGAAAUCCUAGUGUUGUUUCGGAUCGGGCGCGCGCGAUGGUCAUCUUCUACCAACCUCUCCCUCGGGGCAUGCGAGUAGUACUUUGAUUUGUGAUAAAUAUAAUUAAAUGCUUAAAUAAUAAUAUGAGUUCUUUAUGACUAAUGUGAUACCAUCCCUCAUAUUUGCUAGCCUCUUCGGUAUCGUGCAUUGCCCAUUCUCACCUCGAGGAUCGGUGCAACUUUAGCCGGUGCAUCCAAACCCCUGACAUGACACACUCUGUUGCACAUAAGCCUCAUUAUACCUUGCUCAAAACAGCCACCAUACCUACCUAUCAUGGCAUUUCCAUAGUCAUUCCGAGAUAGAGAGGCGAUUUCCUAUGCAUGGUGGUAGCUACACACCCUUUGGCUUAAGUGCCUUUUUUGAUAUACGAGGUGUCGGGUUCCAAUGGCAUUGGCACAAGUGCAAUUUUGUUGUAUAGAAAUGACUUUUUCUCACUUUUAUUAGUAUUUUCAUUACCUUUUUGACACAAGUGUCUUUUUGUUGUGUGGAAAUGGCGUUUUCUCACUUCUUUCAGUCUUUCUUGUCUUUUUGGCAUAAUUGCAUGUUUGCUUGUCCGACUGGUCCAAAGUCAUGAUAUUUUGUUAUAGAGUUGUUUUUCAUUUACCAAAAUAGUUAGAGAUAAAUAUUGAGGCCGUGUGAGCUACCACCAUGGAUAGCAAAUUAUUUCUGUUUCGAGAUAUAUUGCCAUGCAAGUUCAGUCGUCACUUCAGAUGACUAGUGCAUGCAUGAUCAUAUUGUUUUGCAUGAUCAUAUAGAGAUGAUAUAGUAUUUGUGGCAAAGCCACCGUUCAUCAUAUUUUUGAUACAUGUCAUGCUAGAUAUUUGCACAUCCUGGUACACUGCCAGAGGCAUUCAUAUAGAGUCAUACCGUCCUAUCAGUCUUCCUGUUGAGUUGUAAGUAAAUAAAAGUGAGACGAUCAUCAUUAUUGGAGCAUUGUCCCAGUGAGGAAAUAAAAAUGGGGGAGGUCAAAUGAUCCGACCAUAAUAAAAAAUGAACGAGAGAAAAAGAGAGAAGGGACUUUGCUACUAUCCUUUACCACACUUAUGCCUCAAAGUGGCACCUUGUUAUUCAUAUAGAGAGUCUCAUGUUAUACCAUUCAUAUGAUAGUGGGAACCACUUUUUCAUAAACUUGGCUUGUAUAUUCCGAUGAUAGGCUUCUUCAAAUGCCCGAGGUCUUCAUGAGCAAGCAAGUUUGAUGCACACCCCACUUAGCUUGAGUUGAGCUUUCAUACACUUACAGCUCUAGUGCAUCAUUUGCAUGGCAAUUCCUACUCCUUGAAUCGAUAUCUAUCGACGGGUAUCUCCAUAGCAGUACGCCUAGUUGGUGUGAGACUAUCUUCUCCACUUUUGACCCUUUUGAUACCUAUCAUCAUAUUCUAUUCCACCUAUAUGCUAUGUCCAAUGGUUCACGCUCAUGUAUUGCGUGAAGAAUAAAAAGUUGAUGCAUAUUGAAAAGUACGAUCCAAUUGCCUCACUUGGGCACCGUGGUGCCUGACUUUUGUAUUAAUGUGGUGAAGAUGGAGCCAUGCAUUGCAAAUAUAAUAAGAUGAAUGGGGGUAAAACAAUCUUUGAGGAUCAUAUACUUUGAAAGAUUAAUGAACUUGUUGCUUAUACUUACAAGUAUUGUUAUGUUAGUGUUUGUUAAUUCAUCAUUUCUCAAUUAGCAUACAUGCGUAAGAUUAUAUAAUGGGUAGCAUGUCACAUCAAAUUUUCUGUUUUUAUCAUUUACCUACUCGAGGACGAGCAUGAAUAAAGCUUGGGGAUGGUUGAUACCUCUCCAACGUAUCUAUAUUUUGUAUUGUUCCAUGAUGAUAUAUUGUCAUUCUAGGAUAUGGUUCGAUAUUUUUUUUUACCAAUUUAUAUUAUUUUUCAGCACUAACCUAUUGACCAAGUGCCUAGUGCCAGUUGUUGUUUUCCGCAUAUUUUUCACUUUUCAGGUUUUCAAUACCAAACGAAUUCCAAUUGACCUGAAACUUUUUGGAGAUUUUUUCUGGACAAAAAAAACACCAAUGAGUAUCAGAAGAAGGUUCGAGGCUACCCGAGGGCCCCACAAGACAACGCGGCGCGGUCUGGCAGGGCGCCCCGAUGGCUUAUGGGACCCACGAGGCUAUCUCAACUCUGUUCUCUGGCUUAUAAAUCCUCAUAUAUACCAAAAACCUUAGAGGCAGUCACAAAACACUUUUUACGCCUCCACAAGUCUCUGUUCCGAUGGGAGGCCAUCUGGAGCUCCGUUCGGGCAACCUGCCGGAGGUGGGAUUGAUCACGGAGGGCCUCUUCAUGAACCUUGCUACCCUCAUGAUGAUGUGUGAGUAGUUCACCAGAGACCUAUGGGUCCAUGGCUAGUAGCUAUAUGGAAAUCUCUCUCUCUCUCUCUGUUGCUCUCUUAAUCUUCAAUACAAUGAGCAUCGCAUCUUCACUUUGAUCCAUAUGAUGUAAUCCUUUUGUGCGGUGCAUUUGUUGGGAUCCGAUGAAUUGUGGGUUUAUAUUCAGAUUAUUCAUGAUAAAUAUUUGAGUCUUAUUUGACUUCUAAUAUGAUUAUUAUUUGCAUGACUAUGAUAGCUUGGUAAUUCUCUCUGUUCUAUUGAAAUAGUUAGGCCAACUAGAUUGAUAUUUCUUCGGUGAAAGAGUUGCGGUGUAGUAGGUUCAACCUGGCAAGUGUCUAUAUCCUAGUGACGGAAGGGGACAAGAUGCGUCUUUGUGUUGCUGCUACUAAGGAUAACAUGAUGGGGUUUAUUCAUAUUGCUUGAGUUUACUUUUUCUACAUCAUGUCAUCUUUCUCCAUGCAUUACUCUGUUUUACUUAAUACUCUAGAUGCAUGCUAGAUAGCGAUCGAUGAGUGGAGUAAUAUUAAUAACUGCAGGCAGGAGUCAGCCUAUUUUUUAUGCAUGUGAUGCCUAUAUACACAUGAUCAUUGCUUUCAAUAUCGCAUAACUAUCCUCUUUUCUAUCAACUGCCCAAAAGUAAUUUCUUUACCCACCUUAUGUUGUUUUCCUGCGAGAUGCCACUAGGGAAAACUAUGCCCCCCGGGUCUAUUCAUCAUAUAUUUACAAAACCUUAAAUACCUUUCUACCAUUUACUUGUUUUCAUUUUAUUUUGUGAUUUGCAAUUAUCUACACAUCUCACUUGCUUGCAAAUAACGGGACCAAGGGGAUUGACAACCCUCUUGCCCGCGUUGGGUGCAAGUUGUUUGUUCUUUUGUGUGCAACAGCUAAAGAAGGUUGUUGUUGAUAUUCCUAUUGGUUCGGUAAACCUUGGUUUCAUAGCUGAGGGAAAUAAUUACCCACAUUGUGCUGCCAUAACCCGUUCCUCUUCAUAGAAAACCCAACACAGAUCACAGGUAUCACGGCUGCAGAAGCAAACAGGGCGUGCCGUGGGGGGUGGUCGUGCCAUGUUAGCUUGUGGGCCACCCCCUUGUCCCCUGACCUUGUUCCCCAUCUUAGAAAUUAUUCUUAAUCUCAAAAACCCCGGGGGAGUUCCUGAAACACUUUUUCGCCGCCGCAAGAUUUUGUUCUGCCAUGUGCCCAUCUAGAGCCCUUCUCCGGUGCCCUGCAUGAAGGGGAUCGAUCGUGGAGGGCCUCCACAUCAUCCUUUCUGCUCCCAUUGUUCUUCAAUACAAAGUUCAUCACAUCUUCGUGAUGAUCUAUUCGAUGUAAUCACUUUGUUCAGUGUGUUUGUUGGGAUCCGAUGAAUUAUGGGUUUAUGUUCAGAUUAUUCAUGAUAAAGAUUUGAGUCUCCUCUAAAAUUAUUUCUGAUUCUUAUUUGCAUGAUUAUUAGUGCUUCGUAAAUCUCUCCGAUCUAUUGAUUUUGUUUGGCCAACUAGAUUAAUCUAUCUUCAGUGUCAGGUGUGCAUUAUAGUGGGUUCAAUCUUGCAAUACUCAAUACCAGUGACAAAAAGGGACAUGACACGUAUUUGUAUUGUUGCCACUAAGGAAAAAAUGAUAGGGUUGAUUCAUAUUAAUUAAGUUCUCUUUAUCUACAUCAUGUCAUUGUUCUCCAAGCAUUACUUUGUUUUACUUAAUACUCUAGAUUCAUGCUGAAUAGCGGUCGAUGGGUGGAUAAUAGUAGUAGCACUACUAGGAGAAAGGCUAGUAGUAGCGUUUGAUUUACCCAUACCAGUAGCGCUGGUGGCAGCGCUAGUGCUAAGGCGCUACACGUAAGUUUUAGCAGUAGCGUUGGAUAACCAGCGAUACUGGUAACCAAGUUAGCAGUAGCGCUAGAGGACACCAAGCGUUGCUGCUAAACCAGCGCUACUUCUAAUAUUCCUACGAGCAUUAAUGCUAAUAUUCCUACUUUCAAGAAUUUAAUUCCCCUCUACGUAUUUGUGCAUGCUCUAUAUAGUAGUUUCAUCAUAUCAUAAUAAAUAUACAUUAUUCUCAUCAUAUCAUACACAUAAAGUAGUCUCGUCAUAUAUACCAUCAUCAUUAUCCAACAAAAAUAUCAUCACAUCUUGAAAAUAGCGAUACACAAGUCAUGUCUCGAAUAAAUGCAACUGCAUGGUCAUGGCACACCCACAAGUUUCUUCAUCUCUAUCUAAACCAUGAUGCAGAAGAGAAGAGCGAUCAACAUGAGAAAGAGCGCGACUAUGUAGUACUUAUUGAGGCACCGGUUUCGCUCCCUCUUUUCCCGUAGCAUCCACCUCAAGUAACUCUUUUCCGCUUCGGCUCUGUUGUCGAACCCUCUAUGGCUAGCGCCCGGGUACCUGUCCACCUGGGCCUGAGCGUAUGGCCAGUGGUCAUACACUCGUGGAACCCUCUCAAUGAAUAUGACGUAUCAGUCCUUUGCCAUCUCUGAUCUAUAUACCUGCAUCGUAAGUUGAUAAAUUCAACGAUAAUAAGCAACAUAAUGUACUUGAGAAACACAAAGAUGCAUAGUUAUCCAAAUACAAGCAACCUAUAGUAAACAUAAAUAAUGAAGUUCCUCAUACACAAUCUAAUUAACUAGAGCGAUGUACGCUAGUUCAUAGAAAGAUAGUAGUACUAAUUGUAAACACACAUUGCCAUCGUCAAUCACUCCUCCAUGUCGGCACUCCAAUCUUCAUAGUCAGGGAGGAAGGACCCGAGCUUUGUGAAAGGAUUCAGGUCCAGACGUUGAGCGAGUAGCAGUUCUCGGACAUUCUCCCGCCUCAUUGGCCCAUGUAAGAACAUCCAUGUUUGUUCUACGACCUCCUUCAUGAUCACAUGGGAAAGCUCACACUGUAUGUGAUCAAACUCAGCUCGUAUUCGAUGAUCCAGUGUCCUUCCUAUGCUCGUGGCCUAGUUUACAAUCUCGGCAUCACUAGAAGAAGCUGACAUGCGAAGGCGUUGUUUAUCACUUCUGUACUCGAUCAUGUGAUGCAUGAGGAAGAAUCCUUCAGCCUUACUAUUGUUCGGUUGCUGGAUGCAGUAGAAGUUGGUCUUAUGUCCGAAAGCAGGAGCUUUAUGCGUGUACCUUUUCACCUUGAUAUAUCCACGAGUAAGGUUGAAGGUUAAAAUGGCACUAUCGAGAACACUCUUUAUGUGCAUGUAAUCCUUUUUCUUGAUGUUCUUCGCUGAGUCCAAGUACAAAGCAUGGGAGUAUUGUGGGUACACACAGAUGAGGACCCCCUCCCCACUGUGCAAAAUAAGUACACCUCAAAUUAGCCUCCAUGCUAGCAAAGGAAUGAUCAAAACUUACGAAAGGAUAUCCGCGGAUGACUUACGUGGGAUGAUUAGGCAGGAGAAUAAUUUCCAUGUCCUUCUUUGCGAUCAUGAACUCGCUGGUGUACUUGUUCGCAUAGUCACGAUGCUUUUUGCAGACUGUCAAGAAGCUCUCGUGCAUAUAGUACGGGUCCGCAAUGCAUAUAUAUUCUAUGUUCUCAUGCCUGUUCAUGUAGUUGAGAUACAUCGCAUAUAGUCGGAUGAACUAAAAAUCUAGCUUGGUCAUGUGGAACAUGUCAUAGAUGUAGUGAAAUAGUAGGAUGAACUUAUCUGGGUGCCAUCUGUCGAUGUAUGACAUCGCACCCGGAACUCGGGAAAAGUUCUGAGCUGAGAAGUCUUUUCUCUAUGGCCAGCACAUCAUAAUGAAGUGUCCUUAGAUCAUUGUUCAGUAUGUUCUCUAGCGCUUUCUAAGGUAGGAUCGGGUGGCUAGCGACAUGGAAACGCUCCGCACCUACGACAGGUAUUCUGUCUACCUCUCGGGGCUUCAGAGGCGGUUGGCUGCUUGAUGCAGCUCUCGCGCCUUUAGAGCCUUUCCUGCCCGGUCUCCUCCUUUGCUUCUUGGCGGGUGGCGGUAGUGAGCCCACCAUACAUUACCUAAUCACCACCCCCAGUAUCGCCGGGCUAAUCAUCAGUGGACGGCCCCCGCGUAGUUCUUGCUGGGUAGAGGCGGCAUCUGGAUGGGGAUCCUGCGAGGAUCGCAUGAAGAGAGACUUUUUGCAAUCAGCCGUAGGAUGUUCUGGCUCCAGCAAAUCAGGCAACAUCAAGUCAUCUCCAUGUUCAUAGCCCGAGUCAUAGUGCCGAUCAUCGUCAUAGCCGGUAUUGAUAUACUGGUUAAGGUCAUCAUCACCAUCCUCCAUGACAUCAUCAGCAUUUUCUUCUUAGACGGGGGCAACAUCAUCUGGCAAUAAUGGAGGCCCUCCCUCACUGUGUCGUCUUCUAUCACUUGCCAUGACAGGUGCAGGUAAUUGGGUAGGUGAGGUGGUGUACAUACCUUGUUGAGGAGUUGCAUUGGUGUUCUACCGCGCGCCUCGACAGGAAGGUGAGUCUCCGGCCAAGGAAAGAACCAGCUCUUGCAUGCGCCAAUCUAUUUAGGGGUCUCGUCAUCAUCGACUGGUACUGGAAGAGGCAAAUCCUCGAAGCCCACUUUGACACUGGCCACACAAACUUUGAAUACGCUAUGGAGCAUCUGUCGGUUGUAGAGCAUGCGGUCCUUUGACUUCACGUCGUUGCCUUUCCCACAUCCACCUUCUAGCCGUUGAUAUCGUAGAGUAGGGUGCACAGGGUUUCGUCGGCCUGCGAAGACAUGACUAUGAUGUCAGACAUCCGAAAAGCAACUGAAAUGGAAGACUAUAGAUAUGCUGGUGAAGAGUGUAUGACGCGUAAUUACCGUGAUGACGUCGAGCUUAGCCAAAGAUGAAGCCCUGCGGAGCAUGCCAGAGACGGAGGACGGGCUGCUAUGAACCGGAUCGAGACCAGGUACGGGAGCUUGUGCGGUUGCGUGAGCAGGUGCUGGUUGUGCGAUUGUCACAUCCCUGAUCCCUAUUAGGUUUUGUAUGAUAUGCUCAUGUUUUAUUUCAAUGCAUCCAAGGAAAUGAAAUGAAAACCCAAAAGCAAAGCAAGAAAACCAAAUCAAAACCCUAGCAACCCCUCAUUCAAAAGCAUUUCAAACUUGAUGUCAAAUCAAUGAACCCAAAAUGGCCUAAAGAAAAGUUAAUCUUUUCUGAUAAAUAUACAAAACAAGAUAUCAGAGAUGAAACUUAUUUUCAAUCNNNNNNNNNNNNNNNNNNNNNNNNNNNNNNNNNNNNNNNNNNNNNNNNNNNNNNNNNNNNNNNNNNNNNNNNNNNNNNNNNNNNNNNNNNNNNNNNNNNNNNNNNNNNNNNNNNNNNNNNNNNNNNNNNNNNNNNNNNNNNNNNNNNNNNNNNNNNNNNNNNNNNNNNNNNNNNNNNNNNNNNNNNNNNNNNNNNNNNNNNNNNNNNNNNNNNNNNNNNNNNNNNNNNNNNNNNNNNNNNAAGAAAAAAAAAGAAAAAAACCUAUUCUACGCCUACCUCCAGGCCGAGCUCACCAAGGGCAGGGUCGUCUUCUACCUCUGACUACUAGCAUAGGAGAGACCGAGCGGCGGCCUCCUCCACCUCCUGCUUCGCCGUGUCACCCUCCGACACCCCCAGGACAACGGGAACGAAACCCCCACGCACUCCCUUAUCCUCUCCCUCUCUCCAUUUCUCCUCCCCCCAUCGGUUUCUUCCUCUCCCCUUCCUGCCGCCACUGGAGGAGCUUGAGCUCGAGGCAACCGCGCUCUCUAGCCACACGAAAACCUCCUAGAGCGUUCCAUCACCUCCGCUCGUCGAUCUCGUCGUCUACGCCAAAGGAAUUGACCCCUGGGGCUCUGCAACGCAUCAAUCGCCGUCGUCUUCAACCUCCGGCCGUCGGCAAGUCGUUGUUAGAUCGCAGGCUACACCACCUCCCCGAGCAGUCUGAGCCCCGCAUCAUCACCACCGUGAGCUCAUGAGUGUUUCCCCUCUCUUUUCUCUCUCUCUCUCUCCUGCACUCUAGCACCAUGGCCAUCGAAACCGAGAUCCGGCAGCCGCCACAGCUCGUCGCCGGUGCCCUCCGGCCACCCUCAGCCUCUCUUGCUACCCUAGUUGGAUGAGGCCGAGCCUGAGAUUCAUCCCAGUGCUUUCGGCACUCGAAUCCGAGCACCACAGCGAGUUUUGGACCAACUACGGCGAGGAACCGCCGCGGGUUUGGUUGCCGCCGGUCAGCCUGCGACGGGGAAUGACAUGGCCACCCUAACCCCUUGUUAAUUAACGCUAACAGCCACUGACAGUGGGCCCCAGGAGUGGGUCAAACCCACUUAGGGGCUGGUCAGCGCGGGAUUAGCCCGUGUGACGCUUACCAGUGGCCCCCACAUGUCAAGCUUGACCUGACCAGGUCAGCUAACCUGCUGACGCAGAGCUGAUGCAAUAAUGGGAUUUUCUGUUAUAAAGGAAUUCUAGAAAAUGUCUAAAACUUCUAAAAAUCAUAGAAAAUAAUCUGUAAGUCNNNNNNNNNNACCUGUACGGAACUGCCGCUUUAGCUUAUGACUAGACAUGUCAAUCCGGGUUCUUUGACAUUGGAUUCCUAGCGACAGAAUUGCAUACGUGAGUCAAAAGGCGCAAACGAUCCCGGCUAAGGUAAGGCUGCAGUUGUGGGGAUAACCAUGCGUGAGACCGCAAAGAGAUGCGAUGUGUUACAGGCUGGAUUCCUAUGGCUUAGGAUUGGGGUCCCGACAGCGUUGGUAUCAGAGCCUGACUGACUGUAGGAUUACUAAGCCAAACUGUUCGAAGUUGAGUCUAGAAUCGCUUUAGUUAUACAUAAGGGAAUUGUUUGUGGAAGGGAACGUAAGAUUCUUGCUUCUCUUCUUUAAUUAUUCUAUUCUGGUCAUCCUCGUCUUUUCUGCGGGGAUUAAGGACUAGGUUACUUAUCUUUCUGUUAGGCUCGUGUUUCUGACCGGUAGAUUAUAGGACAACGAGUCGAGAGUUACUUCGGGUUUCUUUUAUUCCAAGGAAAAGAAAGUAAGUUUUGAUGACCAUCAAAUUGAACUUGGUAGUUGAGUGGUUACGCUACCGUAUUGUUAUGGGUUGUCUCAAAAUUGUUUUUGAGCAUUUACAGCCGUUAUGCUGCCCAAUUUUGUCUUUAGAGCUCUAAUGCUUUUGCAUUACUCUCUAUUUUCAGAUGCCUGGCUGUCCUUCUCGUCAGGUGGUCCGUCUGACUAGGUGCAUUGAUGUGCCGGGUCUUACGGCCAUGCUAGUCAGGAUGAUGUCAGUAUCCGGUUACCGCUGGUACCCAGAGUACACAGUGGAGGAGCAUUACCGGGAUUUUAAUCAGAGUCAGUAUCUGUGUACUGUUAGGGUAUUCCCAGAUUACCUUGGAGCUGAGGAGCCGAUCCAUUGGUCUUAUGGAUUGGGGGUCACUGUUGACAUGGCAGUACAAGAUGCUGCCUAUUCAAUGCUGACCAUCAUGAGGGCCAGACAUGCACUGCUGCAUAAUGCAGAGUUCUGCUAUGUUCCCGCCUCUCAGCCAGGUGAAGAAGGAUACCUCAGUGGGGUCUACUUUGAUUUCUCUAUGGAGGAUCCACUGCUGCAGUCCACUGCUGAGAUGCUAGAGAAUAGAGACAGGGAUGCUCGUGCCCUUCGUAUGGAGCUUUAUGCUACACGUGCCCGUCUGUGGAUGGCUUUGACACAACUGGCACCUGUAGUCCAGAUAGGGUAUGGAGAUAUGGAGAUGUUGAACCCUGUUAGGACCCAUCUUCCGGCUCAUGUUGACUGGCCUGCUAUAGGAGGAUUCACCCCUCUUCGGGGACCUCUACUACCACCAGUCAGGGGACCAAGGCCACACCCGUGUCCUUACGGAUCCCAGGGGUCUCAGGCUGGAGUAUUUCCUGAUCCGCAGGUUGAGCUUCCAAGCCAUGGAGGCAAUCUUUAUGAGAUGUUCUAUGCGGAUGCCUGAACCGUGAGUAAAAGGAUAGUAUGGUAGUAGUUGUACUUCCACAUGCCUGUGUGACUUGUCUUGGGUCGUGAGAUGAAUUCCGGAUGCAUAGAUAAAUAAUGUAUAGGAAGCUUGGAAGCCUCUGAUGAGUAGUUUCAUGUUUUCAGUAGUUUGCUCUUUGGUUAAGGUUGUACUGAACUAUGUAAUGGUGUGUAUGAACCAUGGUGUAUAUAUAGCAGUUGCUUGUUACCAUGUUGUUCGGAUGUUCAUUUCCGCAUUCCAUGUGUUCAGUGCAUUCUUAAUCCAUAGUUAGUGUUGAUGUUGAUAUUGGUCUAAGCUGUGAGUUUGUUUGUCAGGAUGGUGUUCACCAGGUUGAACCGUGCCCCUGCUCAUGAGCAAGGAGAGGGUAGUCAAGCAUCGCAGGAGGAACUGCCUCACCCUCCUUCUCUGGCGGAAGUUAUGCUUGAGGCAGAGAGAAACAAAAGGGAGACCAACCGUCUAUUAGAGCGUAUUGAGAAAAAUACGGCUCGUCAGCCUAGGAAUGAUGCAGUGUCCCUCAAUGACUUUGUGAAGCUGAAUCCUCCAAAGUUCCAUCACUCCAUCGAUCCCCUCGACGCUGAUGAUUCGCUGUGCAGUAUAUCAUGCAAGAUUCGCUCUACAAAUGUUUUUGAGGCCGACAAGGUGGCCUUUGCGGCGUACUUUCUGGAAGGACCUGCCAAUCUAUGGUGGGAGAACUUUGAAGAUAUGCGUCCUGUCAGACCAGCAACCACAUGGGCAGACUUUAGUGCAGCCUUCCGUCUGCACCAUAUUCCAGAGGGCUUGAUGGACAAAAAGAGAGAGGAGUUAUGUGCAUUCACCCAGGGAAAGUUGACCGUGGAUGCCUAUAGCCGCGAGUUCGGUAACCUCGCCCUCUAUGCAACAGAGGAGGUCUCUACUGAUGCCAAUAAGCAAGCAAGAUUCUGUAAGGGUCUGAGCCGUGAACUUCGUCGUGAUUUGCGCCUCCACGAAUGUACAAGCUUUCAAGCUCUUGUCAACAAGGCGAUCAGUGCCGAGACUGGUCAUACCGACUAUGAAGCCACAAAGAAGCACUCCCGUGACUCGGGCUCGUCAUCUGGUUCAGCGUUCCCAAAAUGCAGGUUGUGGGUUACAAAUAGUUCUCUGCCGCCAAGAUACACUACGAGGCUAUCCUAUGGGGCGCCUCAGACGAAGCAGACCAACCCUCCAGCAAAAACCUAUGGUGGUCCAGCUAGCAAUGUUGCACCACAUGCCAAUCAGGUGAUAUGUUACAAGUGUGGAGAACGAGGGCACUAUUCCCGAGAGUGUCUUCAGAACAUGGGUGCCUAGCAACCCAUAAAGUCCAUUGGGCAAGGCAAGUCGGGCAAAGCUUACUAUGUGAAGCCAACUCCUGCACGUGGCCGUGUGAACUAUGUUUCAGCAGAAGAAGCUGCAGAGGAUCCCGACGUCAUACUAGGUACACUCCUUGUUAAUCAUCACCCAACGUCUGUUAUUUUUGACACUGGGUCAUCUCAUUCCUUCAUUUCAGAAAGUUAUGCACAGUUGCAUAACAUGUAUUUCUGUGAUAUGCCAAUCCCAUUGGUUGUCAAACCCCUGGUAGUAAGUGGCAAACCUCCAGGAUAACCUAUGACAAUGAAAUUCUAGUAGACAAGCUAGUUUUUCUAGCAUCUUUGAUAGCCCUGAAAUCUUUGGAUAUCAAUAUCAUCUUGGGUAUGGACUGGAUGUCAGCUCAUUAUGCCAAGAUUGAUACUCAUUCUAGAAAUGUUCAGCUUACCCAUCCCUAGGGUGAGAUAGUCAAUGUCUCUACUCGAGUUGCCAAAUGCGAACUCUAUUCCCUCAAUGCCAACCCUCUUCCAGAACUUGAAGACAUUCCGGUAGUCCGUGACUUCCCGGAUGUUUUUCCAGAGGAACUGCCAGGAAUUCCACCUCACAAAGAUGUAGAGUUUGUGGUAGACCUUGUUCCGGGAACCGUUCCAAUAGCCGGAAGACCUUAUAAAAUGGCACCCCUGGAGCUAGCCGAACUUAAAAAGCAAUUAGAUGAGGCCUUGAAUAAAUGUUUCAUUCAUCCUAGCUCUUCUCCUUGGGCUUGUCCCGUCCUCUUCGUCAAGAAGAAAGACAGAACGGAUCGGAUGGUUCUAGAUUAUCAAACAGUUAAUCUGGUCACCAUAAAGAACAAAUAUCCGCUCCCCAGGAUUAAUGAUAUUUAUGACCAGCUUGCUGGAUCCUCAGUCUUCUCAAAAAUGGAUUUGAGGUUGGGAUACCAUUAAAUCAAGAUCAAGAACGGGGACAUUCCAAAAACGGUUUUUGUCACUCGUUAUGCCCAAUACGAGUACACCAUCAUGUCCUUUGGUUUAACCAAUGCCCCAGCCACCUUCUCUCGCUUGAUGAAUUCAAUCUUCAUGGAGUAUUUGGAUAAAUUCGUUGUAGUAUACCUCGAUGAUAUUCUCAUCUACUCGAAGAACGAACAAGAACAUGCCGAGCAUCUAAGGCUGGUAUUGAUGAAACUUCGAGAGCAUCACCUUUAUGCCAAGUUUUCAAAAUGUGAAUUUUGGUUACCAGAAGUGACCUAUCUAGGUCACGUAAUCUCUGGUAAGGGCAUUGCUGUCAAUACCGAGAGAGUUCAAGCUGUCCUUGAUUGGACUCAACCUGAAUCGGUUAAGCAAGUUAGGAGUUUUCUUGGUUUAGCGAGCUACUGUCGCCGCUUUGUCGAGAAUUUCUCCAAGGUUGCAAAGCCUCUAACUGAACUCCUCAAGAAAGAUAAAAAGUUCGAGUGGACACCACAGUGUGAGCAUAGUUUUCAGGAACUGAAAACACGCCUGACUUCCGCACCUGUGUUGCUACCACCAGAUUUCUCUAAGGACUUUGUUAUCUACUGCGACGCCUCGCGACAAGGAUUAGGUUGCAUUCUCAUGCAGGAUCGUCAUGUGAUUGCAUAGCAUCUCGACAGUUGCGUCCACAUGAGGAUAAUUAUCCACACAUGAUCUUGAGCUUGCAACAGUAGUCCAUGCACUUAAAAUCUGGCGACAUUACCUUCUUGGUAAUCAUUGCGAAAUAUUCACUGAUCUCCAAAGUCUGAAAUAUAUCUUCACCCAACCGGAUUUGAAUCUCAGUCAAAGACGGUGGGUUGAGUUGAUCACGGAUUACGACUUAGGGAUAACUUACACCCCGGGGAAGGCCAAUGUUAUGGCUGAUGCACUAAGUCGUAAGUCUUAUUGUAACAAUCUGAUGCUACAACAAGGUCAACCACGUCUCUAUGAGGAAUUUCAGAAGUUAAAUCUUCACAUUGUUCCUCAAGGAUUCCUUUUUACCCUGGUGGCGAAGCCUACUCUUAGGGAUCAAAUCAUAGUCGUGCAAGCAUAUGAUAAGGGUAUAUCCCGGAUCAAGAAUAAUAUUGCUAGCAGAAACACUAGGGAUUUCUCUAUCAAUGAGCAAAGUGUUGUGUUCUUUCAGAACCGUCUAGUGGUUCCUAAGAGCAAAUGUCUGCGGCAAUUGAUCCUUAAGCAGGCUCAUGAUUCUCCUCUCACCAUUCAUCCUAGUAGUACUAAGAUGUAUCAGGACCUACGCCAGAGGUUUUGGUGGACUAGGAUGAAGAGAGAAAUUGCUGAGUUCGUUGCUAACUGCGAUGUUUGUCGUCGAGUUAAGGCAGAACAUUAAAGGCCUGCUGGCACCCUUCAAGCUUUAGCUAUUCCUGAAUGGAAAUGGGAUAAAGUCAGUAUGGAUUUCAUCAUCGGAUUUCCCAAGACCAAGAAAGGAAAUAAUGCUAUCUUUGUGGUCAUUGACCGUCUUUCCAAAGUAGCUCAUUUUCUUCCAGUUCGUGAGAGUAUAACAGCUAGCCAGCUAGGAGAGUUAUAUAUCUCUCGAAUAUUGUCUCUUCAUGGUGUUCCUCUGGAGAUUAACUCGGACCGUGGAAGUAUCUUUACUUCUCGCUUCUGGGAGAGUUUUCAGAAUGCCAUGGGGACUCACUUAUCUUUUAGCACUGCUUUCCAUCCUCAAUCAAGUGGUCAAGUAGAAAGAGUGAAUCAAGUCCUAGAAGAUAUGCUCCGAGCUUGUGUUAUAUCGUUCGGUAUGAAUUGGGAGAAGUGCCUUCCAUUCGCCGAAUUUGCCUAUAACAAUAGUUAUCAAUCAAGCUUGGGCAAAGAUCCUUUUGAAGUUCUCUAUGGACGAAGAUGUCGAACACCUCUUAAUUGGUUAGAAACUGGAGAGCGGCAACUCUUUGGCCCGGAUAUGAUCCAGGAUGCAGAAGAGCAAGUUCGCAUUAUUCGUGAAAAGCUGAAAACAGCCCAGUCUCGUCAAAAGAGCCAAUAUGAUGGUCAUCAUAAGGCUGUGACCUUUGAAGUUGACAAGAAGGCUUACCUUAGGGUUACACCUCUAAAGGGUACCCAUCGAUUCGGUAUCAAGGGCAAGUUGGCUCCUCGUUACAUUGGUCCUUUUCGCAUUCUUGCCAAACGAGGAGAAGUUGCCUACCAGUUGGAACUUCCUCCGCAUCUUUCCAAGGUUCAUGAUGUAUUCCACGUCUCGCAACUCAGGCAUUGCUUUUCGGAUCCUAUCCGUGAAGUGGACCACGAAACGCUUGAUCUCCAAGAUAACCUUUCAUACCAAGAAUACCCUAUGUGUAUUGUUGAUCAAGCUGAGCGUACCACUCGACGUCAAAACCUCAAGUUUCUUAAAGUUCAAUGGUCAAAUCAUUCUGAAAAGGACACAACAUGGGAAAGAGAGGAUCGUCUCCGACUUGAGUACCCCGCGCUAUUCCCGACGACUUCCAAAUCUCGGGACGAGAUUCUUUUGAGUGGGGGUGAGUUGUCACAUCCCUGAUCCCUAUUAGGUUUAGUAAGAUGUGCUCAUGUUUUCUUUCAAUGCAUCCAAGGAAAUGAAAUGAAAACCCAAAAGCAAAGCAAGNNNNNNNNNNNNNNNNNNNNNNNNNNNNNNNNNNNNNNNNNNNNNNNNNNNNNNNNNNNNNNNNNNNNNNNNNNNNNNNNNNNNNNNNNNNNNNNNNNNNNNNNNNNNNNNNNNNNNNNNNNNNNNNNNNNNNNNNNNNNNUUGAACCCAAAAUGGCCUUAAGAAAAGUUCAUCUUUUGUGAUAAAUAUACAAAACAAGAUAUCAGAGAUGAAACUUAUUUUCAAUCCACUUUUGGCAUUUUAAUUUUAAGUUAAAAGCUACUGAAUUCAA
RNAcentral lists this long non-coding RNA (28016 nucleotides) under Hordeum vulgare. RNAcentral describes it as "long non-coding RNA (HVUL_LNC001164)". The record is from RNAcentral. Lineage: Eukaryota; Viridiplantae; Streptophyta; Magnoliopsida; Poales; Poaceae.